RNAcentral lists this ribosomal RNA (380 nucleotides) under uncultured marine group I thaumarchaeote. Its description in RNAcentral is "bacterial SSU rRNA". It matches the Rfam family "Archaeal small subunit ribosomal RNA", at positions 471 to 851 of the family's 1478-position model. Lineage: Archaea; Thermoproteati; Nitrososphaerota. The record is from RNAcentral.
UAAAACCAGCACCUCAAGUGGUCAGGAUGAUUAUUGGGCCUAAAGCAUCCGUAGCCGGCUCCGUAAGUUUUCGGUUAAAUCUGUACGCUCAACGUACAGGCUGCCGGGAAUACUGCAGAGCUAGGGAGUGGGAGAGGUAGACGGUACUCGGUAGGAAGGGGUAAAAUCCUUUGAUCUAUUGAUGACCACCUGUGGCGAAGGCGGUCUACCAGAACACGUCCGACGGUGAGGGAUGAAAGCUGGGGGAGCAAACCGGAUUAGAUACCCGGGUAGUCCCAGCUGUAAACUAUGCAAACUCAGUGAUGCAUUGACUUGUGGUCAAUGCAGUGCUGCAGGGAAGCCGUUAAGUUUGCCGCCUGGGAAGUACGUACGCAAGUAUG